UACGAAGGGUGCAAGCGUUACUCGGAAUUACUGGGCGUAAAGCGUGCGUAGGUGGUGAGUUAAGUCUGUCGUGAAAGCCCCGGGCUCAACCUGGGAAUGGCGAUGGAUACUGGCUCGCUAGAGUGCGGUAGAGGAGAGUGGAAUUCCCGGUGUAGCGGUGAAAUGCGCAGAUAUCAGGAGGAACACCGGUGGCGAAGGCGGGUCUCUGGGCCGUAACUGACGCUGAGGAGCGAAAGCGUGGGGGAGCGAACAGG
RNAcentral lists this ribosomal RNA (254 nucleotides) under uncultured bacterium. Its description in RNAcentral is "partial 16S ribosomal RNA". It matches the Rfam family "Bacterial small subunit ribosomal RNA", at positions 524 to 776 of the family's 1533-position model. The record is from RNAcentral.